AUUUUAAUAGCUUAAUUAGAGCAUAAUAUUGAAGAUAUUAAGGUAAAGUUUUUUUUUAAAAUA
RNAcentral lists this transfer RNA (63 nucleotides) under Krisna concava. RNAcentral describes it as "tRNA-Phe". The record is from RNAcentral. Lineage: Eukaryota; Metazoa; Arthropoda; Insecta; Hemiptera; Cicadellidae.